CAGGGUACUUUUAUCGGCGGUGUCCACCUUUUUUCCAUUCCGAACAGAGCAGUUAAGCCCGCCAGAGCCGAUGGUACUACCGUAACAGGUGGGAGAGUAGGCCAGUGCCCGGA
This 113-nucleotide ribosomal RNA is filed under the name Klebsiella pneumoniae. Lineage: Bacteria; Pseudomonadati; Pseudomonadota; Gammaproteobacteria; Enterobacterales; Enterobacteriaceae. RNAcentral also lists the same sequence under 1 other name. The record is from RNAcentral.